CAGCUGUCGAGUGGGCCUGCAGGCAGAUCCGCCCCACUGGAACCUUCAGAUGACUGUGGCCCCAGCCAAACCCCACCUGCAACCUCAGGAGAGGCUCUGAAGAGGGCUCAGCCAAAUUGCGCCUGGAUUCCCAACCCACAGAAACUUGAGAUGAUAAAAGUUCUGAGGUUAAUUUGUUGCAUAGCCACACAGAGGCAUGCCCUCUCCCGGCCUGCAGAGUUGUACACUUAGCCAACAGAAAUGCAUUUCUUCAACUCGACCCAUGUUUGGGAACACCUGCCAGGUGCAAAGCAUGUGCUGGGGUCCACAGUUGAAAGCAAGAGCUGGUCCUUCUCUUCAGGACAGCUGUCUCCAAAGUGUCUGCAGGAGGGGUGAGGGGCCCACAAAGUGCCCGCUUCGGGGGGCAGCCGACCUCACAGACAGACAGCUGAGGAGGGAGACGAUGCUCGGCUGGACACGCCGGCAGCACUGUGCCCCUGGUCCCUGAAAUACUACGGGACCAGCCCUUAAAUAGCCGCUUCACCAAGAGCCUCCCCAUGCUCCCUGCAGGGACCUCCCUGAAGAGGUAAGUCCUGGCUCACGGGGGUCCCCGGGGCGCUGCUCCCAAACCACGGUCGGUGUCCAUCUGCUUGAUGGGUGCCCGGUGCCAUGCAGGUGUCCAGGGGCAGACUUUACCUCUCCCUCUCAGGGUCUCCGGCUGGGCCUGAGAAUUAAAUGGACCUAAGACAGAUCAACAGGAGAAAAGCAUACACAUUGAUUUAAUGUAAGUUUGACCGGACACAGGGGCCUUCCUACGGAAAUGCAGAUUCCAAGAAGUGGCAAAACCUGCGUGUGUUUAUACUCGGUUGGGAGACGAGGCGAAUCUGGAAGAAGAGCCACACUGUACGGGGCGGCAGACAGGAAGGUCAGGGUUGUUUAAGCAGGUCUGUGUGGACGGAGCCACACUGUACGGGGCGGCAGAAAGGAAGGUCAGGGUUGUUUAAGCAGGUCUGUGUGGACGGAACUUCCCGGCUCUGGUGAUGAGAAUGUUCCUUUCCUCCUGGUACCGGGCGGCGGCUUUCACGUGGGACUUUUAUCUCCUGCUUUGAGGAAGCAAAGAGGAUUCAGAACACCCUUUUGCAUCCGCUGUUUUUCAAGUGCCUUCGACUCAAACCAACCCUUACACCAGGGUGGCAGUUUUAG
RNAcentral lists this long non-coding RNA (1182 nucleotides) under Equus caballus (horse). Its description in RNAcentral is "lncRNA (ENSECAG00000059537.1)". The record is from RNAcentral. Lineage: Eukaryota; Metazoa; Chordata; Mammalia; Perissodactyla; Equidae.